GACGAACGCUGGCGGCGUGCUUAACACAUGCAAGUCGAACGGAAAGGCCCCUUUGGGGGUCCUCGAGUGGCGAACGGGUGAGUAACACGUGAGUAACCUGCCCUUGACUUCGGGAUAACUUCAGGAAACUGGGGCUAAUACCGGAUAGGAAUCCUUGCUGCAUGGUGGGGGUUGGAAAGCUUCGGCGGUUUUGGAUGGACUCGCGGCUUAUCAGCUUGUUGGUAGGGUAGUGGCUUACCAAGGCUUUGACGGGUAGCCGGCCUGAGAGGGCGACCGGCCACAUUGGGACUGAGAUACGGCCCAGACUCCGACGGGAGGCAGCAGUGGGGAAUAUUGCACAAUGGGCGGAAGCCUGAUGCAGCAACGCCGCGUGCGGGAUGACGGCCUUCGGGUUGGAAACCGCUUUCAGCAGGGGCGAAGCUUGUGGUGACGGUACCUGCAGAAGAAGCACCGGCUAACUACGUG
RNAcentral lists this ribosomal RNA (465 nucleotides) under uncultured bacterium. RNAcentral describes it as "partial 16S ribosomal RNA". It matches the Rfam family "Bacterial small subunit ribosomal RNA", at positions 28 to 507 of the family's 1533-position model. The record is from RNAcentral.